This 253-nucleotide ribosomal RNA is filed under the name uncultured bacterium. Its description in RNAcentral is "partial 16S ribosomal RNA". It matches the Rfam family "Bacterial small subunit ribosomal RNA", at positions 524 to 776 of the family's 1533-position model. The record is from RNAcentral.
UACAGAGGGGGCAAGCGUUAUUCGGAAUUAUUGGGCGUAAAGGGCGCGUAGGCGGCUUUGCAAGUGACGGGUGAAAUCCCUCGGCUUAACCGAGGAACUGCCUGUCGGACUGCAUGGCUUGAGACCAGGAGAGGUGAGUGGAAUUCCCAGUGUAGCGGUGAAAUGCGUAGAUAUUGGGAGGAACACCAGUGGCGAAGGCGGCUCACUGGACUGGUACUGACGCUGAGGCGCGAAAGCGUGGGGAGCAAACAGG